UACGUAGGUGGCAAGCGUUGUCCGGAUUUACUGGGCGUAAAGGGCGCGUAGGCGGUUCGAUAAGUCCCGUGUGAAAUCCCUCGGCUCAACUGAGGAAUGGCACGGGAAACUGACGGGCUUGAGUUCGGGAGAGGGAAGCGGAAUUCCGGGUGUAGCGGUGAAAUGCGUAGAUAUCCGGAGGAACACCGGUGGCGAAGGCGGCUUCCUGGACCGACACUGACGCUGAGGCGCGAAAGCUAGGGGAGCAAACGGG
This 253-nucleotide ribosomal RNA is filed under the name uncultured bacterium. Its description in RNAcentral is "partial 16S ribosomal RNA". It matches the Rfam family "Bacterial small subunit ribosomal RNA", at positions 524 to 776 of the family's 1533-position model. The record is from RNAcentral.